This 1406-nucleotide ribosomal RNA is filed under the name uncultured bacterium. RNAcentral's name for it is "16S ribosomal RNA". It matches the Rfam family "Bacterial small subunit ribosomal RNA". The record is from RNAcentral.
UUAGAGUUUGAUCCUGGCUCAGGAUGAACGCUGGCGGCGUGCCUAACACAUGCAAGUCGAACGGGUGUACGGGGAGGAAGGCUUCGGCCGGAAAACCUGUGCAUGAGUGGCGGACGGGUGAGUAACGCGUGGGCAACCUGGCCUGUACAGGGGGAUAACACUUAGAAAUAGGUGCUAAUACCGCAUAACGGGGGAAGCCGCAUGGCUUUUCCCUGAAAACUCCGGUGGUUGAUGAUGGGCAUGCGUUGUAUUAGCUGGUUGGUGAGGUAACGGCUCACCAAGGCGACGAUACAUAGGGGGACUGAGAGGUUAACCCCCCACAUUGGUACUGAGACACGGACCAAACUCCUACGGGAGGCAGCAGUGAGGAAUAUUGGUCAAUGGACGCAAGUCUGAACCAGCCAUGCCGCGUGCAGGAUGACGGCUCUAUGAGUUGUAAACUGCUUUUGUACGAGGGUAAACCCCGAUACGUGUAUUGGGUUGAAAGUAUCGUACGAAUAAGGAUCGGCUAACUCCGUGCCAGCAGCCGCGGUAAUACGGAGGAUCCGAGCGUUAUCCGGAUUUAUUGGGUUUAAAGGGUGCGUAGGCGGUUUGAUAAGUUAGAGGUGAAAUGUCGGGGCUCAACCCCGAAACUGCCUCUAAUACUGUUGGACUAGAGAAUAGUUGCGGUAGGCGGAAUGUAUGGUGUAGCGGUGAAAUGCUUAGAGAUCAUACAGAACACCGAUUGCGAAGGCAGCUUACCAAACUAUAUCUGACGUUGAGGCACGAAAGCGUGGGUAGCAAACAGGAUUAGAUACCCUGGUAGUCCACGCAGUAAACGAUGAUAACUCGUUGUCGGCGAUACACAGUCGGUGACUAAGCGAAAGCGAUAAGUUAUCCACCUGGGGAGUACGUUCGCAAGAAUGAAACUCAAAGGAAUUGACGGGGGCCCGCACAAGCGGAGGAACAUGUGGUUUAAUUCGAUGAUACGCGAGGAACCUUACCCGGGCUUGAAAGUUAGCGACGACGCUUGAAAGAGCGUUUCCCUUCGGGGCGCGAAACUAGGUGCUGCAUGGUUGUCGUCAGCUCGUGCCGUGAGGUGUCGGGUUAAGUCCCAUAACGAGCGCAACCCCUACUGUUAGUUGCCAUCAGGUGAUGCUGGGCACUCUAGCGGGACUGCCGGUGUAAGCCGAGAGGAAGGUGGGGAUGACGUCAAAUCAGCACGGCCCUUACGUCCGGGGCCACACACGUGUUACAAUGGUAGGUACAGAGGGCAGCUACCCUGCGAAGGGGUGCGAAUCUCGAAAGCCUAUCUCAGUUCGGAUUGGAGGCUGAAACCCGCCUCCAUGAAGUUGGAUUCGCUAGUAAUCGCGCAUCAGCCAUGGCGCGGUGAAUACGUUCCCGGGCCUUGCACACACCGCCCGUCA